Molecule: transfer RNA, 73 nt
Filed under: Mustela putorius furo (domestic ferret)
Lineage: Eukaryota; Metazoa; Chordata; Mammalia; Carnivora; Mustelidae
Rfam family: tRNA
About the family: Transfer RNA (tRNA) molecules are approximately 80 nucleotides in length. Their secondary structure includes four short double-helical elements and three loops (D, anti-codon, and T loops).
Source: Rfam by way of RNAcentral
GCCUGGCUGGCUCAGUUGGUAGAGUGUGAGACUCUUGAUCUUGGGGUUGUCAGUUCGAGCCCCACGCUAGAUG